UACGUAGGGUGCGAGCGUUAAUCGGAAUUACUGGGCGUAAAGCGUGCGCAGGCGGUUCUGUAAGCCCGAUGUGAAAUCCCCGGGCUUAACCUGGGAACUGCAUUGGUGACUGCAGAGCUAGAGUGUGUCAGAGGGAGGUGGAAUUCCGCGUGUAGCAGUGAAAUGCGUAGAGAUGCGGAGGAACACCGAUGGCGAAGGCAGCCUCCUGGGAUAACACUGACGCUCAGGCACGAAAGCGUGGGGAGCAAACAGG
This 253-nucleotide ribosomal RNA is filed under the name uncultured bacterium. RNAcentral describes it as "partial 16S ribosomal RNA". It matches the Rfam family "Bacterial small subunit ribosomal RNA", at positions 524 to 776 of the family's 1533-position model. The record is from RNAcentral.